This is a non-coding RNA of Microcebus murinus (gray mouse lemur), 493 nucleotides long. The record is from RefSeq and is a predicted model, not a curated record. NCBI's taxonomy places the organism in Eukaryota, Metazoa, Chordata, Mammalia, Primates, Cheirogaleidae.
UCUGAGAGCCUCGUUUGUGGAGAAUCUGAGGGAAAAGCUAUUUCUAACUUUUGUGUCUUUAAGCUUCAGAGAACACACAGAUUUGGAACAAAGGAAAGGCAGAAGAACUAAAGAGCAAGACCAAUCAAGAAAGUGUAAUAUAAGUCUCUGAUCACAUCAUGUCUGCUGUCCAGUUCCUAAAAGUAACUCAUAUGGCCAAGUCCAAGAGAAUAUUACUGAGGUACAAACAUUUUGAUUGCGUAUACUACUGUUGCACCACCAGAGUCAGAACUACAGGUGUUCCCAUCCCCCAGACUGUGCACACCACACCCACUGGAUUUUCAUAGAAGUAUUUAUUGCUCGAAGACUUCUGGAAGCAAUCAGAAGGCAUGAGGUGGUUACUGAGAAGCCAAUGCUGUUCUCCUAAUUUAAUUAGGAACAUUUCCAAAUUCAUUGCUCAAUUUUAAGUGUCCAUAAAUUCCAGACUGCUCAUAUGCUCUAUGGCAUAUUUUUG